UUCCUGAAGCUGUGUGAGGAACUGGCACAUCCUCAACCUUGGCAAAAUAAACUUUCUAAAUUAACUGAGACCUGUCUCAGAUUUUGUGGGUUCACAUUUUGGUAACCAUGGGAGAUUCUGAGUGGAGAUGCUCCUGACCUUUCACAAAUCUCCUGUCGGUGCUUGGUACCAGCAUAAACUAACUUUAUGACUCAAACCAAUAGGACAAUUGGUUGAGGUCUGAGUGCAGGCCCUCCAGAGAAUCCCUGAUCUCCCAAAAUUUGGUUGAGAUCUAAAGUUUAUUUUGCUGUACAACUCCUCUUUGUUUUUUGGAGCUUUACUUGCUUCCAACACAAAGAAGGCAAGUUUUUCCUGCUUCUGUGAUGAUGGAAGGCAGGUAACUCCUUUAUGGAGUUUGAGCUGGCUUCCAACAAGGAAGAUGAGUUGUUUUGUUUUGUUUUUUUCCCUUCUAGGAUGCUAGAGAGCAGUCUUUAGCCUGAGACCCAUCUCUAGGAAACAACUCGAGAAACUCCUUAUUUCACCAAGGCUUUGACUGGAAUGGUGUGCUUUUUUUUAAGGAAUAAAACUUCACUUAUGGAUCCAAUAAAGCCCUUGGAAAAACUGGCCUCAUAUUUUGUGUACACAGUCCCCGUAUGGGGUUUCUGACUUGUGUUUUCCUAAUUUGGAAUCACUGAAAACUAAGUUUUGAUUUCUUAAAACCCUGUGAACUGAAGCCAGACAACUUAAACUUCAGAAGAAAAUAACAGCAGACUAGUUACAUACAUAAGCCACUUGCAUACCUGCCUACUAAUAUAUGGACUUCAGAGUAAUGUGGCCGAUACACAUUUUUCCAGGAUUGUUCUUUGGUUUAUUGUUGUUUUUCUCCCUUCUUCCCCCAAUUUUCUCUUCAUAGGACAUGAGACUUCACAGCCUGCUAAAGAUAAGCUUUUGGGACCUACCCAUCUAGGAAUAAACAGUCCUAGCCUUGAGAGAUCAGAUGAAACCUGAGGCCAGAGACUCAUUUUCUUCUAAAAUGCUUUCUCCAAAAGAUUUUUAGAUAGAAAAGGGAGAAAUGUGAAAUGUCUUGAGCCCCUUCAAGCUGGGAACUGCUCAGGACAAAUCUGUCUCUCAUUCUAUUCAAAGUCAUUUCUCUGCUCAGAGAUGGAUGCAUAUUCUUAUUGCUUUCUUUGGAAAGACUUAACAGAAACUCAAAAGAAUGCAACCAUCUGUCUCUCACCUACCUGUGACCUGGAAGCCCAUAGGGUAAAAGGGGCUUGCUUUGAAUUGUCUCUACUUUUCUGAAUGGAACAAAUGUAUUUCUUACAUAUAUUGAUUGAUGUCUCAUGUUUCCCUAAAAUGUAUAAAACCAAGCUGUGACCCAGCCACUUUGGGCAUGUGUUGUCAGGACUUCCUGAGGCUGUGUCACAGGUGCAUCCUCAACUUUGGCAAAUAAA
This is a long non-coding RNA of Symphalangus syndactylus (siamang), 1433 nucleotides long. RefSeq lists it as uncharacterized. Lineage: Eukaryota; Metazoa; Chordata; Mammalia; Primates; Hylobatidae. The record is from RefSeq and is a predicted model, not a curated record.